Molecule: ribosomal RNA, 635 nt
Filed under: Octodrilus complanatus
Lineage: Eukaryota; Metazoa; Annelida; Clitellata; Crassiclitellata; Lumbricidae
Description: partial 16S ribosomal RNA
Rfam family: Bacterial large subunit ribosomal RNA
Source: RNAcentral
UUCCUGUAAAUCAAUAAGAAGUAAUUCCUGCCCAGUGACUAACGUUUAACGGCCGCGGUAUCCUAACCGUGCAAAGGUAGCAUAAUCACUUGCCCGUUAAUUGCGGGCUAGAAUGAAAGGACCAACGAAAUAAAAACUGUCUCUAUGAGUCUACCAAAAAUUAAUAUCUAACUGAAGAAUGUUAGAUCCUGCCGAAGGACAAGAAGACCCUAUAGAGCUUUAUCUUAAUGAGGGUAAACACCUUUCUAAGAUUCGGUUGGGGCGACCAGGGAAUAUAACUAAUCAUCCCAUUUCUUCCAGAUAUCUAAAUCUUACUACUCGACCCUUAAUCAAGAUCAUCAAAAUAAGCUACCUUAGGGAUAACAGGCUAAUCCUAUUAAAGAGUCCUUAUCGAUAAUAGGGUUUGGCACCUCGAUGUUGGCUUAGGGAAUCCAUACGGCGCAAAAGUCGUAUAAAGAUGGUUUGUUCAACCAAGAAUACCCUACAUGAGCUGAGUUCAGACCGGCGUAAGCCAGGUUAGUUUCUAUCCUCGGUGAUAACAUCUAUUUAUAGUACGAAAGGACCUAAAUAUGAAUAACAUUUAUACAUAAAGAAUACAUAUAAUAUAAGUUUAGUACAAAUAUACACCCACUAUG